RNAcentral lists this long non-coding RNA (13960 nucleotides) under Triticum aestivum (bread wheat). Its description in RNAcentral is "long non-coding RNA (TAES_LNC005432)". Lineage: Eukaryota; Viridiplantae; Streptophyta; Magnoliopsida; Poales; Poaceae. The record is from RNAcentral.
CGUAGCACGUGGUGGAAAUUAAUAGAUGGGAUGGUGGACGGCGGAAGGGAUAAUGAUGCAGCGGCGGCGUGACUAAUGUGAACAGAACUCGAAACUCUAAAGGAACUAGACACUAAGACCAGCAACUGACACGAUGAUGCAACCGAUAAUUCAACUAUGCAAGCAAUGAAUAGAAAAUUGCAAAGGCUCAGACUGGCUUGGAUAAAGGAUGAAUAGAUCUAACUUUUUUUGUGGCUUUUUCAUGGACUAUAGGUAUGAAUGACAGAUGCGAUCUAAACUAUGAAAAACUGUAAAAUCUCACCGAGCAACCUGAAAACUGAUACCACUUGAUAGAGGCGGGGUGUCCCGAUCUUUCGAUGAGAUGAUAACUAUCGAUUUGGUGGAGACGACUUUGACGAUCCGACUACAAACGUGCACGUCGUUGCGCCUUGGCAAUCGCUAAACCAACUCUGAGAGGUUAUUGACCACGCCGAAGCGCAAUCAACCUGACCACGAAGGUCUAUUCCUGCAAGCAAUCGAAGAACAAGCAAGAAUAUGAUAAAAGCAAUCUGAAUAUUGCGAGUAUAUUUGAAGUAUUGAUAAAAGUGGGGAUCCGUAAGCGGUCUUGGUCUGGUCGUUGGACACAAACGAAUUACACGAAGUUGCAAUGGCUAACUUUUAACUAAACAAAUCCCAAGGAAAAAGCUACUAGAUGGAUCUACUUAUAUAGGAGCAAGCGGUGGCGGCCAAGGAGGUGGGAGAAUGUCCCAAGGCAGCCUAAAACCAACCCUAGGUCGUACAAGGCUCAUGGGCCCAAGUGGAGGUGACGUAACACCUUUGGACUUGUAGUUUGACUCGGAUUCUGCUGCAGCAUCAGAUUGUUUCGUCCAUAACUCAACGCUCCGGACGAAUUUGAAGGUGAUUCCAAUUGGGUUGGAAAGUGCACGAAAUCUAGUUUCCAACAAAAAAAGAAUCACCCAAUUCGGAGUCCGUAUGAAAAAGUUGUGUGCGUUUUGAGUCAGGUAUGUCUGUGCAGUCCGAAUCUGAAUCCAGAACGUGAGAGACUUGGACUCUAUCUUCUCUUGGGCCAAAAGUGACGUGAGAGAACUUUUUGGACAGCAAAUAAACAUCUCUUUCUUCCUUAUCUUCAUAUGUGGAUUGUACAAAUGUCCCAUACACCUGCAAUUAGACAAAACACAAAAGUGUGUGAAGUAUUUUUGUUCUGGAUAACAUAAAUAGAUUAUUGAAUAGUUUGCACUAGAAAUCACCUGACAAAUAUGCAUAUAUGCAAUAUUUUUGGUCAUAUCCAAGGUAGUCAUGUCCUCAUCAUGGAUUGGAGUGGGAAGUGUUGCGCAGAGACUAGGAGUAGAUGGAUUGGACUGGUGUGGCGCCUUUAUAUGAGAGUCCAAACUACGUUGCAUUCACAUGCUCCAUUCUGCUUCUCCAAUUACUUACUCCUACCUCUGCAUGCUACUUGAAUGCGGAGGCAUCAUUAACCGUUCAAUGUUUCGGGAACCGCUACCCUCUGCGUCGUUGGCAUUCAAGCUGUAUCAACGUAAAUGCGUGUCAAGAGACGUUCUCGUCGACGACAAGGUGCCUAUGGUGACUUUGUAAAUUUUAAGAUGAUAUGCCGGCUCAGUCUUUUGGAGGUGCUCAUAGGUGUAGGGUGUGCGUGUGUGCGUUCAUAGGGGUGAGUGUAUGCGCGUGUAUAUGAGCGCUUGUGUCUGUAUUGUGCUAAAAACGUAAAUGCGUGUCAAAAAGAGACUAGUCAGUACUAGUAUAGUCAAUAUUGUGCACCACGACCAAGGCGUAGAGGAAAAUGAGAGAACUACGUAUUUAUUUACAGUGUAGAUUCACUCAUUUUGCUCCAUAUGUACUCAUUUAGGGUGUAGUCUAGUCAGUUGUUGAAAUCUCUAGAAAGGCAAUACUGUACUCCUUUCCGGUUUACAGGGCUAUACUAGCAAGUACUACAAUAGUGGGCUCACAUAGCAAUUUUGUCUCAUGCAAGAGCCUGGCUAUAUGCGUGCUCCAAGGCUCCGCACCACGCCCCACCCCUACACAAAGACUGCCACGCGAGCGUUCGCAACUGCCACGUUCGGGUUGCGCUUGGCUCUUCUCCUCUUCGAGAAGACGAACAAUGAUGUUACUACUACUUCUACAGUAACGAAUCCACUUAUGCAUGUUCGUCCACCGUGUGCGGGAGGGAUAUCUUGUUGUAGUAUAAGCAAAAGCAUGUCCUUGUCUGCGAGCCACCACGCACAUGGGCGAGGGAGAAGGCGUGUAGUAGUAAAAUCAACCUUCCCCUCGUUGUAUGAGUUGACGCGACACAUCAUAGCACUGGCCCCACAUGCUUGCCUCUAAACUUGGCUAAAAGACAUGCAGUGUACAAUAUAUUUGCUGCAACCUCUAACAUUUACCCCACCACAAAUUAAAAUAUAUAUUCCUGUCUUGACCAGAUGAGCAUGCAAACUACAAUCACCAGGAUCACAUGUAUGGCCAUAAGAUUAUUUUGAUCAAAAAAAAUGCUUUGAGACGGCCUCAUAGCAUGGAGCUGACCCCAACGAUUUUAAGCUUAGAGGCACGGUACACGCUAUCCUAGACUACUCUACACCUGAAACUGCCACAUGAGCGUCCGGGCUAUGGUUGGCUCUUCGCCUCUUUGGGAAGUCGAACAAUGAUGGAGUACUACUACAGUGGAGUACUACGAUAUGCUUCUGGCCAUCUGACACCGAAUGAACUACUGCAUGUCCACCGCAUGCGGGAGGGAGAGCGUGUAGCGAAAGCUUCUCCUAGUCCUGCCAGCCACCACGCUCAUGGGCGAGGGAGGGACACAGCUUCAUUGACUGACUGCUCCUGCCUUUGCGUGUAUGACAGGUGGGCCCAACAGGUGGGUGGCCCACCUGUCAUACAACCAAAGGCAGGUGCAGUUAAGGCACUGGAGCUCAUUCCGCAAGGGAGAGGGCAUUGUAAUCAAACUUCUUGUUGUUGUACAAGUUGAUGCGACACAUCAAAGCACUGCACUCGAUAUAUUCCAAUAAUUUGUGUUUACAGAUGCAUUAAUUACAACGCAUGCAUGCAUGCCGUGACUUUCCUUUUGAUACUUGCAUGUGUUGAUUUAAUGCACCUUGAAGUAGUAUGAAUAUGUGACGGUAAAGCUUUGUAAUGCACCGGCGCUAAAGCGAGAGAUGGUUGUGCACGAGGAGGGCGAGAUCAUGCCGACGAAACAGGACCCGGCGAUGGAGCUCUCUAUGGUCUCGAUGGACCUCACCUUGCUCCACUGCCCCUUGUGCCUCCGCCCCUUGAAGCCUCCAAUUUAUGAGGUUCGAAUACACCUCGUACGUUUGGUUGAUCGGGCAAGGUGCGGGUUUCUUGAUUGAUGUGUUGUUCGAUUGAUUUGUGCAGUGUAAGGGACGACACCUGUCUUGCGCGGACUGCCGCAUCGAGCGCCCCGGGAACCAGCGGCGGUGCCAGAAGUGCGAGUGCGGCGGUGGCUUCGACGUGGGAAACAUGAUGGUGGACGACGUCCUCUCCUCGAUGAGGGUGGAGUGCCCGCACGAAGGUUAUGGGCUCCAUGUCUCUUACCACAAGCUCACCAAUCACUAGAGCGUGUGUCCGCUCGCGCCAUGCAAAUGCCCCAUGCCCAUCUGCAGCUACGAAGGCCCGCCCCCAGCACUCUCCCACCACAUCAGCACCGUGCAUCCCAUGCCCGUGCACAGGAUCCAGUACAGCAAGGUGCUCCAGCUGCAAGUGCCACUAUCGAAGCCACGGCUCUUGCUGUUCGCGGAGGAGGAUAGCCGCACAUUUUUCUUGGUCAGCGGCGUGCUCGACAUCCGUGCGCCUAUCACCGUGUCGGUCGUCUGCAUCAGAGCGGGCGCGUACCCACUGCCGCACUACGUGGCCAAGCUGUGGGUGAACGGCCCGCCGGCGGAGCCCAAAGGCAGAACCGACGCCGUCAAGGUGGAAAAUGGAGGUGACAAGCAACAAGGAUCCCGGCGACGUUGCCGUGCAGGAGCUGACCUUCUUCACAGUUCCGCCCAAGCUGCUGGCCGGGGCUGGGUUGUCGAGGACGGUGUCCCUCCACAUUCAGAUUGACAAGCUCACAUCCUAAAUGAUUCUACAGUGCCUUCUGUUUAUCUUAGUAAUAUGCUAAUAUAGGGGUUAGCUCGGUCUACUUUAGCUUAAGAGAUGGUGGGUUUUUGUGGCGAUGCAGCAAUUACUUCGACAUUAGAUCAGUAGUUAAAGUAAUUUCCAAUAGUCGAACGAAUAUUUUGUGUAUGUUUGAUAUAAAGAUCCUUUGGGUAAGUACUAUAAUAGCUUAUAUGCUUGUCUGUCCAGGAAGUGUUGCAUACUUGUGCGAGUUCACGUGACAUAUCAAAGUAGUACUACUACUAGUAGUACUCCCUCUGAUCCUAAUUUCUUUGUGCAUAAGUCGAGGCGCACAUACCAAGGAGGGUCUGGUUGCGUCUAUACUUGGACAGCUCACCCGACUGCGCACCAGGCAGACGAAGCUCAUGUCGUGUUGGUGUUGUGUGCGGCCCGCACAUUAACUAAAACCUCGUGGCUCCAGCUUAGCCUCUACGUUUUAAACUUCUCAGUAUCAAGGCCGAGCAGCAACGUGAAACCUAUGAUAGAGCCAAUUGGAUGGUUGAGAACACUACAAUUCGUAGCUACAUAUGCGUGUGUGAGAGAGAGGACGAGUGCGUGUGUGCACCUCUUCUCUUCACGUAUAAUGUACUAAACUCAGAGUACAAGUGUAUGUGGGUGGCAUCGACCUAGGGAGCUAGAGAUGGUGCGUGCGAGAAGUCCCAAGAGAUAGGUGUAAUGCGCCUGAAAAAAAGACUAGUCUAUAGCUCGCCAUGGGGCUAUUCCUGUCGAACGCCCCAAUAACCGUAAGAUAUGUAUCCGACAGUGCCAGUUAUUGCACAUACACAGCAGUAGAAAAAGAAGUACCAUGGCAUAUGCUACACCACAGCUGAUAGAGGCAAAGGUGUCCCGUCUUUCGAUGAGAUGAUGGAUAUCGCUUUGGUGGAAGUCGACUUUGACGAUCCGACUACGAACGUGCGAGGACGUCGCGCCUUAGCAAUCGCUAAACCAACUCCGAGAGGUUAUUGACCACGCCGGAGCACGAUCAACCUGACCACGAGGGUCUGUUUCCUGCGAGCAAACGAAGAACAAGCAAGAAACUAAGAUUGCAAUCUGGAUAUUGCGAAUAUAAGAUGAAAGCUUUAUUGAUCAAGGUGGGGUUCUGUGACGCCUUUGUCUGGUCGUUGAACACAAACGAAGUACGCGAAGUUGCAGCUAUGGCGAACUUUUAAUCUAAGCAAAACCCCAAAGUCUAAACGAUGCCCUAAGGGCUGUAUAUAUGGAGGAAGAGGGGGGAAUUUCGUGGCCCUUGGUGGAGGAGUCCAAAAUCAACCCUAUCUCUUGUUUCCCCACACAUACGGACUCUAAAAAUAGCCUAUACUUAUGUAUUUCGAAAUUACAUGGGCCUGGCCCAAUAAUAAGGUGACGCAGCACCUAAAAUAGCCUCGGGACGAAAUUUAUGAAGUGGCAUCUUGUAUAUUUCGUCCAAGGCUUCAUGCACCCAUUAUGGUGGCUUCAAAGUCCUGAAAUCAUCACUUGUAACUCCGUUCUUGUUUCCCUUGCGCAUGCCAUCAUCUCCAUGCUUGUUCUUGCUCCAAUGUUCAUCCUUCUCCAAGCUAGGCCCUUCAUUUGUAAGCAAAACAAAUGUAUCCAAUUUAGGCAGCAUCAUAUUCUCAUGAACAUUAUAAUCAUUACCAAGAAACGAAAGUACCUGGUAAUUUAGUUGGCGUGCACGAGCUCCAGUAAUUGGUCCAGUAUGUAUAGCAGCAGGGGCUGUGGGUGUAACAAUUGUAUUGAUGUCCUCAUCAUCCUCCCCUUCUUGAAAUGAAGUCGUCCUCGACGGAAGUUCAUCUUCCUCACCCAAAUAAGGCUUCAAAUCUGCAAUGUUAAAAGUGGGACUAACCCCAAAAUCUGCAGGCAGCUCAAGUUUAUAUGCAUUAUCAUUUAUUUUCUCUAACACCUUAAAGGGACCAUCAGCACGUGGCAUUAACUUUGAUUUGCGCAAAUCAGGAAAUCUAUCCUUACGCAAAUGUAACCAAACAAGAUCUCCAGGUGCAAACACAACAUGUUUUCUACCCUUAUCUCCAGCAAGUUUAUAUUUAGCAUUCAUGCGCUCAAUGUUUUCCUUAGUUAACUCAUGCAUUUUUAAAAUCAAUUCAGCACGUUGUUUAGCAUCAAAAUUAACCUUCUCCGAAGAUGGAAGAGGCAACAAAUCAAUAGGUGCACGAGGUAGGAAACCAUACACAACUUCAAAAGGGCACAUCUUAGUAGUAGAAUGCAAUGAAGGAUUAUAAGCAAAUUCAAUAUGAGGCAAGCAUUCCUCCCACAUUUUCUUAUUAUUCUUCAAAACAGCCCUAAGCAUAGUAGACAACGUUCUAUUGACUACUUCAGUUUGUCCAUCAGUUUGGGGGUGACAAGUAGUACUAAAAAGCAGUUUAGUCCCCAACUUAGCCCAUAAACAUCUCCAAAAGUGGCUAAGAAAUUUAGUAUCACGAUCUGAAAUAAUAGUAUUUGGCACACCAUGCAAGCGAAUAAUUUCACGAAAGAACAAAUCAGCAACACUAACAGCAUCAUCGCUUUUAUGACAUGGUAUAAAGUGUGCCAUUUUCGAGAAUCUAUCCACGACAACAAAUAUGCUAUCCCUCCCCUUCUUUGUUCGAGGUAAACCUAAAACAAAGUCCAUAGAUAUAUCCUCCCAAGGAACACUAGGUACAGGCAAAGGCAUAUAUAAACCAUGAGGAUUGAGUCGUGACUUAGCUUUUUGACAUGUAGUGCAUCGAGCAAUAAAACGCUCAACAUCCCGUCUCAUCUUUGGCCAAAAGAAAUGUGUAGCAAGUACGUCCUCCGUCUUCUUCACGCCAAAGUGUCCCAUUAAUCCUCCUCCAUGCGCCUCCUGCAACAACAAAAGACGAACGGAGCUAGCUGGAAUUGAUAGAGGCAAAGGUGUCCCGUCUUUCGAUGAGAUGGUGGAUUUCGCUUUGGUGGAAGUCGACUUUGACGAUCCGACUACGAACGUGCGAGGACGUCGCGCCUUAGCAAUCGCUAAACCAACUCCGAGAGGUUAUUGACCACGCCGGAGCACGAUCAACCUGACCACGAGGGUCUGUUUCCUGCGAGCAAACGAAGAACAAGCAAGAAACUGAGAUUGCAAUCUGGAUAUUGCGAAUAUAAGAUGAAAGCUUUAUUGAUCAAGGUGGGGUUCUGUGACGCCUUUGUCUGGUCGUUGAACACAAACGAAGUACGCGAAGUUGCAGCUAUGGCGAACUUUUAAUCUAAACAAAACCCAGAGUCUAAACGAUGCCCUAAGGGCUGUAUAUAUGGAGGAAGAGGGGGGAAUUUCGUGGCCCUUGGUGGAGGGGUCCGAAAUCAACCCUAUCUCUUGUUUCCCCACACAUACGGACUCUAAAAAUAGCCUAUACUUAUGUAUUUCGAAAUUACAUGGGCCUGGCCCAAUAAUAAGGUGACGCAGCACCUAAAAUAGCCUCGGGACGAAAUUUAUGAAGUGGCAUCUUUUAUAUUUCGUCCAAGGCUUCAUGCACCCAUUAUGGUGGCUUCAAAGUCCUGAAAUCAUCACUUGUAACUCCGUUCUUGUUCCCCUUGCGCAUGCCAUCAUCUCCAUGCUUGUUCUUGCUCCAAUGUUCAUCCUUCUCCAAGCUAGGCCCUUCAUUUGUAAGCAAAACAAAUGUAUCCAAUUUAGGCAGCAUCAUAUUCUCAUGAACAUUAAAAUCAUUACCAAGAAACGAAAGUACCUGGUAAUUUAGUUGGCGUGCACGAGCUCUAGUAAUUGGUCCAGUAUGUAUAGCAGCAGGGGUUGUGGGUGUAACAAUUGUAUUGAUGUCCUCAUCAUCCUCCCCUUCUUGAAAUGAAGUCGUCCUCGACGGAAGUUCAUCUUCCUCACCCAAAUAAGGCUUCAAAUCUGCAAUGUUAAAAGUGGGACUAACCCCAAAAUCUGCAGGCAGCUCAAGUUUAUAUGCAUUAUCAUUUAUUUUCUCUAACACCUUAAAGGGACCAUCAGCACGUGGCAUUAGCUUUGAUUUGCGCAAAUCAGGAAAUCUAUCCUUACGCAAAUGUAACCAAACAAGAUCUCCAGGUGCAAACACAACAUGUUUUCUACCCUUAUCUCCAGCAAGUUUAUAUUUAGCAUUCAUAUGCUCAAUGUUUUCCUUAGUUAACUCAUGCAUUUUUAAAAUCAAUUCAUCACGUUGUUUAGCAUCAAAAUUAACCUUCUCCGAAGAUGGAAGAGGCAACAAAUCAAUAGGUGCACGAGGUAGGAAACCAUACACAACUUCAAAAGGGCACAUCUUAGUAGUAGAAUGCAAUGAACGAUUAUAAGCAAAUUCAAUAUGAGGCAAGCAUUCCUCCCACAUUUUCUUAUUAUUCUUCAAAACAGCCCUAAGCAUAGUAGACAACGUUCUAUUGACUACUUCAGUUUGUCCAUCAGUUUGGGGGUGACAAGUAGUACUAAAAAGCAGUUUAGUCCCCAACUUAGCCCAUAAACAUCUCCAAAAGUGGCUAAGAAAUUUAGUAUCACGAUCUGAAACAAUAGUAUUUGGCACACCAUGCAAGCGAAUAAUUUCAUGAAAGAACAAAUCAGCAACAUUAACAGCAUCAUCGCUUUUAUGACAUGGCAUAAAGUGUGCCAUUUUUGAGAAUCUAUCCACGACAACAAAUAUGCUAUCCCUCCCCUUCUUUGUUCGAGGUAAACCUAAAACAAAGUCCAUAGAUAUAUCCUCCCAAGGAACACUAGGUACAGGCAAAGGCAUAUAUAAACCAUGAGGAUUGAGUCGUGACUUAGCUUUUUGACAUGUAGUGCAGCGAGCAAUAAAACGCUCAACAUCCCGUCUCAUCUUUGGCCAAAAGAAAUGUGUAGCAAGUACGUCCUCCGUCUUCUUCACGCCAAAGUGUCCCAUUAAUCCUCCUCCAUGCGCCUCCUGCAACAACAAAAGACGAACGGAGCUAGCUGGAAUGCAUAGCUUGUUAGCACGAAACACAAAUCCAUCGUUAACGACGAACUUGUUCCACAUUCUUCCUUCUUUACAAUUCUGCAUUACAUCUUUAAAAUCAGCAUCAUGCACAUAUUGAUAUUUGAUGGUCUCCAAACCAAAUAUUUUGAAGUCAAGUUGUGAAAGCAUAGUAUAGCGGCGAGACAAUGCAUCAGCAAUAACAUUUUCUUUUCCCUUCUUGUGUUUAAUGACAUAAGGAAAAGUCUCAAUGAAUUCAACCCAUUUAGCAUGUCUACGAUUCAGUUUAGCUUGACUUUUAAUAUGUUUCAAAGAUUCAUGAUCAGAAUGUAUAACAAAUUCUUUGGGCCAUAAAUAAUGUUGCCAUGUUUCUAAAGUCCAAACAAGAGCAUAUAAUUCUUUAUCAUAAGUAGAAUAAUUCAGACUAGGCCCACUCAAUUUUUCAGAAAAGUAUGCAACAGGUUUGCCAUCUUGUAAUAACACACCUCCUAAUCCAAUUCCACUAGCAUCACAUUCAAGCUCAAAAGUCUUAUUAAAAUCAGGAAGUUGGAGUAAAGGAGCAUGUGUCAACUUAUCUUUCAAUACCGUGAAGGCUUCUUCCUGUGCGGUACCCCAAACAAAAGGCACAUCCUUCUUUGUAAGCUCGUUGAGAGGUGCAGCAAUGAUGCUGAAAUCUCUCACAAAACGCCUAUAGAAUCCAGCGAGGCCAAGAAAACUCCUCACUUGUGUGACCGUUUUGGGCGGCGGCCAACUCUCAAUAGCUUCAAUCUUGGCUUUGUCAACUUCAAUUCCCUGUGGAGUAACAACAUAGCCAAGAAAAGAUACUCGGUCGGUGCAAAAGGUGCACUUCCCAAGGUUACCAAACAAACGUGCAUCACGUAGAGCAAUAAAAACUGCACGUAAAUGUUCCAAAUGUUCUUCCAAAGAUCUGCUAUAAAUCAGUAUAUCAUCAAAAUAGACUACCACAAAUCGUCCAAUGAAAGCACGUAAAACUUCGUUCAUUAGUCUCAUGAAAGUACUAGGCGCAUUAGUUAACCCAAAAGGCAUGACUAACCACUCAUAUAAUCCAAACUUAGUUUUAAAUGCUGUUUUCCAUUCAUCUCCCAAUUUCAUACGAAUUUGAUGGUAUCCACUACGCAAAUCAACUUUGGAGAAUAUUGUAGAGCCACUCAAUUCAUCAAGCAUAUCAUCUAGCCUAGGAAUAGGAUGACGAUAACGAAUAGUAAUAUUAUUAAUGCCUCUACAAUCAACACACAUACGUGAUGUACCAUCCUUUUUCGGCACUAGAAUAAUAGGAACAGCACAAGGACUAAGGGAUUCGCGUAUAUAACCUUUGUCGAGCAGCUCUUGUACUUGACGCAUAAUCUCCUUCGUCUCCUCUGGAUUGGUACGGUAUGGUGCACGGUUUGGCAGUGAAGCACCGGGAAUUAAGUCAAUCUGAUGCUCAAUCCCUCGAAUAGGCGGUAAUCCCGGUGGCACGUCUUGUGGAAAGACGUCAGCGAACUCCUGCAAAAUGUUAGUGACAGCAGAAGGCAAAGAGGAAGGCACGUCCUCGGAUGAAAAUAAUGCCUCUUUGCACACAAAAGCAUAGCAAACAGAUUUGCUGAAAUCUAGCUCAUCAAUAUCAGAUUUGGUGGCAAACAAACAUGCACUUUUCAAUUUAAUUUCAGAAGCAACACUAGAUGGUUUAUUAUUAGGCUUCAUUUGAUGCUCAAAUUCUUUUGCCACAAUCUGAUUUUCACUCUUAUUCGUCUCCUGUUUUGCUUUAUUAGCUCUAUUAAUAUCAUCUUUCAAAAUGGAAUCAGGAGUCAUAGGAAGCAAAGUAAUAUUUUUAUCCUUAUGUACAAGAGUAUAGUGAUUGUUUCUACCAUGGUGUACAGAAUUUUUAUCAAAUUGCCAUGGUCUACCAAGUAAUAAGGAACAUGCUUGCAUAGGUACCACAUCACAAUCAACAUAAUCAGCAUAUGUAGAGAUACUAAAAUGCACACGAACAGUACGUGUUACCUUAACCUUGCCGCUGUUGUUGAACCAUUGGAUGUAGUAAGGAUGUGGAUGUGGUCUUGUGGUGAGAGAAAGCUUCUCCACCAUCUCCAUGCUAGCCAAGUUGUUGCAGCUCCCUCCGUCUAUUAUGACGCGCACAGAACGUUCCUUCACAACUCCCUUGGUAUGGAACAAAUUGUGCCUCUGAUUUUGCUCAGCUUGUGUGACCUGCACACUCAAAACACGUUGAGCAACUAAACAUUCAUACCUGUCAGCUUCUUCAGGAGCCAUGUAUUGCGUCUCAUGAUCAGAAUCAUCUCCACCAUGUUCUUCACGUGUAAUAAGAGCCAAAGUCUCCUCAUCAUAGUCACUAGCGGAGUCAUAUCCACCAUCCGCGGUAGCAAUCAUCACAUGCGGAGAUUUGCAUUCUCUCGCAUAAUGACCUCCUCCCUUACAACGACGACAAAUAAUAUCACUUGUGUGCCCUGUUGAUGCCAUGGAAGAAGAAGAACGCUGUGCAGGCCCCGCAGGUGCGCUCUUGGCAGAUAAUGGUGGUUGUGCCUGUUUUCUUGUAUCACGGCUGGAGGUGGCACCGGAUGGAGGUGCUGGUGCAGUUGAAGUAGAAGAUGCACGUGGUGUCCAUGAUGAAGGUCGGCCUGCAGAAAAGUUAGUUCGCCCCAAUGCUUGUCGAUCCUGCACUUCACGUUCAGCUUUACAAGCAAGAUGGAAUAAACGAGUGAUAUUAGUAUACUCCUUAUAGUCUAGAAUGGUCUGAAUCUCUCUAUUUAAUCCACCCAGAAAACGUGCAAGCAUAGCUUCAUUCUCCUCAACAAUACCACAUCUAAUCAUGCCAGUUUGUAAUUCCUGAUAAUAUUCUUCUACAGAAUUUUUUCCUUGUCUUAAACGCUGCAAUUUUUGAAGCAAUUCACGUUGAUAAUAUGGUGGAACCCAACGCGUACGCAUAGCAGUUUUCAAAGCAGCCCAAGUAGUUGGAAUAGGAUAUAUCUACAAUGUUCAGACCACCAUACACAUGCAAAACUAGUGAAAGCACAAACGGCAGCAGCAACUCGUCUCUCCUUAGGAUAUUGUAAACAUGUAAAUCGUUGUUCAGUUUCUAACUCCCAAGUAAGAUAUAUAUCAGGAACAUAUCUACCCUCAAAUGGUGGAAUAUUCAAUUUCAGUUUAGGAAUAUGGACAUCAUCUCGUACCUGAGGUGGUGGUGCAGGCCUACCAUUAUGAAUAUAUACCUGAGGUCGACCUGCUGGUGGUGGUACAGGUGGCUGCACGUAGUGUUGAUUUUGAUCAACCUCAUCCUCAUAAUCUCCCACAUAAUCAUCCUCCUCCGCAUCAGCAGCAGGAGCCACAGAAGUAUCAACAGCAGCACCAACAGUUUGGCCAAACGCAAGAGGAACACGGCUUGCUCGGCGGGGGUCUGCUUCGCGACGUGGAGGUAGUCGUUGUUGUUGUUGUUGGAGAGGUGCGUUAGGUGCAGCGGGUGGUGGUGGUGGAAGACGCGCGAGCAAUUCAUUAAACUUGUUAUCGAGCUUUGUUUCGAACGUCUUCUCAAGGCCAGUGAUCUUCUCCAUGGCCUCUUCAAAAUUGUUCAGCACAUCUUGCACCUGUUCAGUCAUCAUUUGCUGAAACUUAUCAUGAAGCUCCUUGUUCGAUAAAUUCUCCCAGUCAAUCUCGUCGGCUUGUGAUCCUGGCAUGGUUAGCAGCAAUAGAAACACACAAGAAUAUGAUCCUACAGACUAUGAACAAGUGGUGGUGGUGGGUGUCACAAAUCCGUCAAGCAAAUCUCAAAUUCUUACCAGUUCUUACCCACCAGCAGGCGGUGAUCGGCAACCGUUGUAGUCAAAAACUCUCAAAGCUUGGAUAGAGCGAUUACCAGGGAGAGUCAAACGCACGACGUAGAUGUAUGUGGAGCUGGGAAGGCUUAUAAUAUGGUAGCAAAAAGGGUCAGCAAUAAUCAAUUCAGAGAUGCAAAGUUGAAUAAACGCUCAACGACGGUACUGUGCUGGUCCUAGGCUAGACUGUGCUAGAGACGCGAGCCUAGAACACCAACAAAAUCACGGCGCGGCACGUAAACAAGGGAAAAGCACACUCUGAAUUUUUUUUGUCGCUCUUUUUUUUUUGCGCUCUUUUUUUUUUGCGCUGCUUUUUUUUUGCGAAAAAUCACUAUAAUGGCGAGUGUCUCAAAACUCUUCCUAGCUCAAACUGACAGGAUGGGCACGAAAUUUUUCGACCAAAUUUUUUUUUUUUCGACUGCCCGGACCCAAAAACUGGAAACGGGUCAAAAAAAAUUCCUAUAAUGGCACCUGUCUCAAAACACUCAGAAACACCUAAAAAUAGGAUAGCCAGAAAUUUUUUCGAAAAAUGCGUUUUCGAAAAAUUUUGGGACUAAACGGAGCGUGGCUACCCGACUCUUUUUUUUUCCCGAAACCUACUCCGGCAAGGAAACACGAAUCGGAAUCUAGAUGGAUCUCGAAAACAACCCUAAUAAGCAAGGAACUCGGAUUGGUGGUGGAUAUAUGGUGGUGGUAUAUGGCAGCGGUGGUGGUAGCGGUGGUAGUAUAUGGAUAUGGAUAGGUGGUGGUAUAAGGACACGGAUUGGUGGUGGUAUAUGGAUACGGAUUCGGAGCGGUGGUGGUAGAUGGCAGGGGCGAUGAUGAUGGUGCGGCGGCGGCGUGACAACUUAUGACCAGAACUCGAAACUCUAAAAGACUAGACUCUAAGACCAGCAACUAGACACGACGAUGCAACUGCAAAUUCAACAAAGCAAAACCCUAAAAAGAUUAUGCAAAGGCUCAGAUUGGUUCGGAUAUGAUGAACUAACCCUAAUUUUUUUCGUGGCUUUUUUCGUGGACUGUAGGUAUGAAGAACAGACUCGAUCUAAACUACGAAAAACUGUAAAAUCUCACCGAGCAACCUGGAAAUCUGAUACCACUUGAUAGAGG